RNAcentral lists this ribosomal RNA (613 nucleotides) under fungal endophyte sp. MS16. RNAcentral's name for it is "eukaryotic LSU rRNA". The stretch from base 236 to 389 matches the Rfam family "5.8S ribosomal RNA". Lineage: Eukaryota; Fungi. The record is from RNAcentral.
GGAAGUAAUAAUCGUAACAAGGUCUCCGUUGGUGAACCAGCGGAGGGAUCAUUGCUGGAACGCGCCCCAGGCGCACCCAGAAACCCUUUGUGAACUUAUACCCUACCGUUGCCUCGGCGCCAGCUGGUCCUCCGGGGCCCCUCACCCGCCUGCGGGUGUUGAGAGAGCACGCCGGCGGCCAGCCUAACUCUUGUUUUUACACUGAAACUCUGAGGAUAAAACAUAAAUGAAUCAAAACUUUCAACAACGGAUCUCUUGGUUCUGGCAUCGAUGAAGAACGCAGCGAAAUGCGAUAAGUAAUGUGAAUUGCAGAAUUCAGUGAAUCAUCGAAUCUUUGAACGCACAUUGCGCCCUCUGGUAUUCCGGAGGGCAUGCCUGUUCGAGCGUCAUUUCAACCCUCAAGCCUGGCUUGGUGAUGGGGCACUGCUUUUACCCAAAAGCAGGCCCUGAAAUAUAGUGGCGAGCUCGCCAGGACCCCGAGCGCAGUAGUUAAACCCUCGCUCUGGAAGGCCCUGGCGGUGCCCUGCCGUUAAACCCCCAACUCUUGAAAAUUUGACCUCGGAUCAGGUAGGAAUACCCGCUGAACUUAAGCAUAUCAAUAAGGCGGAGGAAG